This 760-nucleotide ribosomal RNA is filed under the name Talaromyces diversus. Its description in RNAcentral is "SSU rRNA". It matches the Rfam family "Eukaryotic small subunit ribosomal RNA", at positions 51 to 819 of the family's 1831-position model. The record is from RNAcentral. Lineage: Eukaryota; Fungi; Ascomycota; Eurotiomycetes; Eurotiales; Trichocomaceae.
GGGUGGGUCUAGGUAUAAGCACUCUUGUACCGUGAAACUGCGAAUGGCUCAUUAAAUCAGUUAUCGUUUAUUUGAUAGUACCCUACUACAUGGAUACCUGUGGUAAUUCUAGAGCUAAUACAUGCGCAAAACCCCGACUUCGGAAGGGGUGUAUUUAUUAGAUAAAAAACCAAUGCCCCUCGGGGCUCCUUGGUGAUUCAUAAUAACUUCACGAAUCGCAUGGCCUUGCGCCGGCGAUGGUUCAUUCAAAUUUCUGCCCUAUCAACUUUCGAUGGUAGGAUAGUGGCCUACCAUGGUGGCAACGGGUAACGGGGAAUUAGGGUUCGAUUCCGGAGAGGGAGCCUGAGAAACGGCUACCACAUCCAAGGAAGGCAGCAGGCGCGCAAAUUACCCAAUCCCGAUACGGGGAGGUAGUGACAAUAAAUACUGAUACAGGGCUCUUUUGGGUCUUGUAAUUGGAAUGAGAACAAUCUAAAUCCCUUAACGAGGAACAAUUGGAGGGCAAGUCUGGUGCCAGCAGCCGCGGUAAUUCCAGCUCCAAUAGCGUAUAUUAAAGUUGUUGCAGUUAAAAAGCUCGUAGUUGAACCUUGGGCCCGUCCUGCCGGUCCGCCUCACCGCGAGUACUGGUCCGGAUGGGCCUUUCUUUCUGGGGAAUCCCAUGGCCUUCACUGGCUGUGGCGGGGAACCACGACUUUUACUGUGAAAAAAUUUAGAGUGUUCAAAGCAGGCCUUUGCUCUGAUACAUUAGCAUGGAAUAAUA